CUUGCUCUGCGCGUUAUUAUUAUUCAUCGGAGGGUGCUGCCUCCACAACCUUUGCCUCCUGAGCUCCUCUCCUUCCCCCCGGCCGCCGUCGCCAGCAGUGCGGUCCUUCCUGCACGCAUGCUCUGGUUCACCAAAGGGAGAGUCUGAAUUUUUUUAUCACGCUCAUCACCAUCAUCGUGCUGCUCCUUAUUAUGGUUCUCAUUUUCUCCUGCUUGGUGGAGCGACCACCAGCGCCGUCUCGCCGGCCGCCCGCCCCUUCCACAGAGGAGGAAGCAGUUCGGGCUUGGCUGGGCGGCCGCUCCCAAGAUGCUGCGGCCUUUGCCCCUGUGCCUCCCUCCCUCAGUCCUCUGCUUGUAUACUGUCCUGAUCCCUUUUUUUCCAGUAGACCAUUGCCUUGGGUUGGGCUGACUGAAUCGCUGGGGACUACUACUAGUCUCUUAAAACGGAGAACAAAAAGAUGAAGACCUGGUCUGGACGCCGGGACAAAGCACCUUGGGCUCAACGAAAAGGGACCGCUGGCUCCGGACCACGCGUGACCGCUGUGAAGGGCGUCCGCCGGGCGUGCGCUCCUCUGCGGCAUUCUACACGAGUGACCUUUCGAUCCUCGUCCACCCUUUACCUGCGCGAGGACUGCAGCAGGCGAGUUCCGGAAGGCUGAUUGCCGAGAUCCUGGCCCCGGACCGCUGCAGCUCGCCCCUGCGGCACGCCCGGACCCAGCCUGCGAGGAAAAAGCCUGGAUACGAAAGGAUGGGAAGAACAAAGAGCCUUUGGAAGACGUCGCCGUUAUCUCAUUGUCUGUGUGAUGGGGGGGGCUGCGGUGGGGAGGAUGCCGCGGUCCCUUCCUCCCGGCGCUCCCCCACCCCCAUCCCCUCCCCGCUGUCAACGCGCGCACACGCGUGCUGCUUUUAAUUUUUUAUUUUUCUUCUGUUCUCAUUCCAUCUUCUCCCCACCUUUCCCCUUCCUUCCUUCUUUCCUUCCUUCCUUUCUCCUUUCCUUCCUUCCUUCCUUUCCUUCCUCAGGAGAAAGGCCUCUCUCUCCGUGUUCACAGCGGACCUUGAUUUAAAUGUCCAUACAAUUAAGGCACGCGGUGAAUGCCAAGAAUGGGGCUGGCUGAGCACCGUGGGGCGGCGAGGGCCGCCGAGGCAGGAGCGCCCGGAGCCCGGCGCCCUCCGCAGACCUCGGCGCGGCGGCUUCGGGCGCGAGGGGAGGGGGCGCGGCUUCCCGCCGGCUGCCGGAGCCCCCGGGGUGGGAAGGUGUGCGGGCUGUGGCUCCGGGAGGAAAGAAGCUGAUUCUGGAACCGAGCGUUCUGUGCGCGCCGGGGAGGGGCGGCCUGGGGCGCACUGCGGAGCGCCAGAGUGCGUUUCUCUCUGCGCUCGGGAUUCACUGUGCGUGGGUCAGCAUUUUCCUCCAUGGCUGUGUUUUUGUUCUGCGUUCCGUUUUUUUGUUUUGUUUUGUUUUUUUUGGUUUGCCCUUUUUAAAAAACAACUAAUCUGGCAUCCAGGAGACUGGCAGACUGCCCCGGGGCCUGGGCUGCGGAUGUGUUGUAUCCAGCUUGAGGUUUGGGAGGGGUGGGGUAGCCGGUGAGGAGGGAGGGGGGAGAAGCUGUGUGUCGCCCUUUGCUGUAGAGCAGUGAGCACCUGACAAGAUUAAGGAAAUCUUUGGGCUAUGUGGACGAAAAGGACCAAGCUCCUGGCCCGUCCACAAGCUCCCUCAGGGCUGCAAGGGACUGGACCAAGCACCUUGGCUGUUAACAACAGUUUCAGGCUUUGAUCCAGAAACUACAGAGGAAGGGAGAGGCGCGUUGACUUACAUGGACUCAUGUAGGAUUGCAUUCCUUUUAAAAUGUGAACAGAAGGAAAAACAGAAUGUGUACAGCUGGGGGGCUGAGGAAAGGCCGUUUCAAAGGACGCUAUCAAGGAAUGGAAAGGGUUAAGCUUCACCCAUCCUGGAGACUCUGCCUCCCAAAUCAGGCCUUCCUACUUGUCCCUAGAUCCUGAGCUGCAGCUGGUCUUAGAAACCUUCUCCCCAUACUGGGCUGUCAAAACCCCAUCCCAUUUCCAGCUCUGUAUUAACCACCAAGCCCCUGCCCGGUGGCAAAACCUACAGUGUUAAUUUCCAGGUGGAGAAAAUGGAGGAGGGGGGGUCCCUGAAGCAGACAGCUGAGAAAGGAGGCCAAGAGCUGCUCUUUGCUGCCCAGGAAGAUUGCUGCAUCCUGUCUUCCCCUGGUGCCAGAGACCUGUCUUUGCAAGGCCAAGACCAAAACGGAUGCUUAGUUUAAUUUGAUUCCUGAAGCAGCGUUCAAGGCCUACUGAGGACCUCUUUUCUGAAGCCUCAGUCUAGCCCACUAGAUAAAUUAGUAUUCAGUGAUAUUUUGGAUCAUUAUCCCUCCCUAGCCUCUUUUUCUCCAAAAUAAUUUGUUGAGUACCUACUAUAUGCAGAUUUUUGUGUAAUUAUUACAGUGUAGGCUCUUUCAGUUCCUUCUGAAGGGGGUGUUUAGAGUCAGACAGGUGGAGGUUAAGUGUGCCACACCUCACCUAGAUACUCCCAGAACCUUCUCUGGGUCUGCAGAAUGUGCCACAACCAGCUCACCCUGCAGAGAGAAAGCUGCAGUGCAGCAGCCUGCAGGUGCCUGCGCCUCUUGAGCCCCAGAAGGCAAGCUUGGCUGCAGGACAGAAAGAAAGAGAGAACAGCUUCUCUCACCACCACCACCACCCCCACAGCCUCAGCCCAGGUGGUCCUUAGAGGCUCUGUAACCAUUGCCUUCAAAAUCUACCUUCAUUGAAACUAGUACCCCUCUGAGUCCUGGCAUCCCCCUCUGCCCAUUUUGGACAGGUUCCUGAAGAGGACAGCUGGGGUGUAAACACCCUCACCUCCAAUCUCUCUGCUCCCUGCCAACGACAGUUCUUUUAGGCAUGGUUAUGCCUCUGAUGACCAAACCUCUUGCCCCACAAAUGUCCAAUUAGCUAGCCUCUUCUUCACAACUGCUUCCCUGUAAUUCUUCCAGAAUCCCUGUACCCUUCAUGCCUGUGCCCUCUGGUAAAAUCUGCAGAUGCCUCCCCAGCUAAUGCCCCCUUUAUUUAGGUGGAAACUUGACAUGCUGUUUCCUGAAAGCUGAAACCGCAGGCACCAGGGCCGAGGCCUUCCAGGUUUCUGCUGCAGAUAAUUUAUGGCGGGAGGGGCUUUUAAAAACAUUUUUAUUGCUUAUGUAAACUCUCAUUCCAGAAAGCCUUAAUGUCUGUGGGAGUGUUUGGGGUUUGCAGGGUCUGUGUGCAUUGGUAUGGGGAUCUGCUUGUGUCCACCAGUCUCUUUACAAAAUGUGUUCGUGUGGGGCUUUAAUGGCAGAAGGUGGCAAAGGGAUAAAUGGACCACUUUGCCCUGUGUGUAACUGUGAGGCCUCUUUUGUGUUUGCCAAUCAGAUGUCUGGGUGAAGGUGGGGCUUCCCUUCUGCAUUUGGGGCCUGUGUUGUGCCUACUGGGAAUUAUCCAAGAAACCUCAAGAGCUCUAGCUUUCUGGCUUAAUUCUCAAUGUCAUUUUCUCCUACGUAUCUAUGUGAGCCCCUCUAAUGACAUCUGUGGCAUUAGUGAAGGAGAAAGCACAUGGUUUUUUUAAAGGUGCUCACGGGUGAGGCAGUUUGCUAAGAAGGCCCACAUUGGUUCAUCCUCACCACAGACAUCACGGUCUUCAUCUUGAGCAAGCUCCUAUGUUUCUUAAGGUAACUAUACCAGAUACAUCUAGAUUUAGGAACAUAUCGAAGGAAAUAUUGGUAACAUUCUUCUUUCCCCUGCCAGAAACAGCCCAGAUCUCUUUUUAAGCGGAAAAGAAAUUCACUCUUUCACAGAGGCAAAGGUAAACUCCUGUAUGUCAUUUCUAUUUCUGGGGUGGGGGUACAGCUUCUGUGAAUGCAUGAGCUGUUUUAGCCAGAGAGAUAUUUGGGGAAGGGUCAUGUCCUCAGCAGACAUACACCCCUAUACAUACAUUUUUUGCAUAUAACCAUAUCCGCUGUUAGUACUUAGAGCAGUGUUUUUCAACCUUCUUUAUCUCACGGCACACUUGAACCUAUAGUUAAACGUCCACCGCACACUUAAAUCAUGCUGAUCAAAAAUAAAGAGUAGAAAAAAAAGAAUAUAUUUACUGUGCUUUGAACUUCUUUCGAAAAUAAUUUAACAAUCUUUAAAAAUUUUCACGGCACAUCUAAGAUCCUCUUAUAUCACUGAUUGAAAAUCACUGAUUGGAGGAAAGCAUUUAACCACCAAAAAAAAAAAAUCCAUCCAGCUAUACUGACUCUAAGGGAAAUUGUUCUUUCCCUUUAUUGAACUUACAUAAUAACCCCCCCCCACCUUAGAAUGGAGUCCUCUGGGGGCAGCUGCAAAACCAGAUGGAACCUCCCCUUCCUAAUCUACUCUGUGGGUGGUUUUAGAGCCUGGUGAGUCAACACAGGCUGGCUGAGUUGUGCUGGUGGUGUGUGUCGGAGGCUUGGCUGGCUGAUUUCAUGGUGACCAGCAUGUCAACAAUAACAACGAUGAGAAUUUUGGUCCUAAUAAAGAUUUUUUUUUCUUUCAAGUCCCAUCUACAAUUCUUUCAUUGGGUGUUUUGCCAAGUCUUAAUCUGAUUUCAGGGUUUUUUGGGUUUGUUUUUUUUUUAAGAAAACAUAUGUAACACUUAAUUGCAUCAUGAACAUAGACCUUAUAGCAAGAAAAAAGGACUUCAAAUAGAAUAUUUUAAAGGCAAUAUGCACCACUUUGUACCCUAUACGGGUGUGCUGGAGGCCUGCAGAGAUCUCAGAGGACCAAAUUUAGAUGGCCUCAAAAAAAGAAAAGAAAAACCAGGCCUUAUUGAGAAUAAAGAAUGUUCCAGUGUUUCUUGGCCAGGCCGCUCUGCAGGAGCCGGUAGCAGCGGGAUCGCUGCCCCGGUCCACCUGCCCAGGGCGCGCCAACAUCACCUCCCACGGCGCCCAAGCCAGGCUUUUCUUUUCCUUGGAAUGCACCCGGAGACAUCCGUCCACUCUGAGCAAGGUGGAGAUGGACCGGCGCUGGUUUCCCUGUUAAUUUUUGCUCCCGUGUUUUCCCAGCUUUGAUUUAUUUUUUCUUUCCCGAAUCCUGCAGACUUGAGAACCCUGAGGGGUCGGUCAUCCCGCAUUUCCCAAAGCUUUGGUGCAGGGAGGCAGGAUUUGCUUCAGUCCUGUUCCAGGAUGCGCCCAAGUCAAAGUCGGGACAGUGCCACCAAAGGAAGGGCCAGACCAGGAGAGGCCACCUUGUCCCCUUUCAGUGCACCUCAGCACUAUUAAGUCAUGUGCCCGGCCAGACCCAAGGCCUGGGGUGGGGAGGGCAGCUUUUGCAAGGGCAGAGGUAUGAUAUGUCCCCCUCACCACCAGCAGUCUCCAGACUGGCGCAGGCCCAGCCGCUGCGCCCUCCCCGCCCUGUCCCUCUCCCUUCAUCUGCCUCUGGGCCUCCUACGGCACCUGGGGCCUCCAUGACCCCAUCCCGCACCCUGGAAACGUCGCCCAGAAAGCCUCGGAACGCUGGAGAGAAGAGGCUGGCGGGUGCACCAGGCAGAGUGCAAGCCAAAGGGCAGGUUGAGACAGAAAAAGUCGCUUUGUGGCCGCGACGAAGGCCUCGCCCCAGCAGAGCACACGAAAUUGCUUUAAGGGUAGGGUUUGGGGGAGAUUUUUUCAUCCCAGCGCCUGUUUUGAACAGCCUUCCCUUUACAACACCUUCCCUCCAGCCUGCUCUACC
Molecule: long non-coding RNA, 5732 nt
Organism: Nycticebus coucang (slow loris)
Lineage: Eukaryota; Metazoa; Chordata; Mammalia; Primates; Lorisidae
Exons: 5
Source: RefSeq, a predicted model, not a curated record